Long non-coding RNA from Myotis davidii, 91 nucleotides. RefSeq lists it as uncharacterized. Lineage: Eukaryota; Metazoa; Chordata; Mammalia; Chiroptera; Vespertilionidae. The transcript has 3 exons. The record is from RefSeq and is a predicted model, not a curated record.
GAUGGAGCCUGAGAAGAUUACAAAAUGCUAAUGAGUGUAAGGAGAUAAAAUGAACAGAGAGUAAAAAGUCAUUCUACUGGGAAAGGAAAGG